UGCCAGCCGCCGCGGUAAUACGAAGGUCCCAAGCGUUGUUCGGAAUCACUGGGCGUAAAGCGUGUGUAGGCUGCGCGGAAAGUCAAAUGUGAAAGCCCGGGGCUCAACCUCGGAACUGCAUUCGAUACUCCCGUGCUAGAGUAAUGGAGAGGUAAGUGGAAUUCCUGGUGUAGCAGUGAAAUGCGUGGAUAUCAGGAGGAACAUCAAUGGCGAAGGCAGCUUACUAAGUCAUAACUGACGCUGAUGCACGAAAGCGUGGGUAGCGAACAGGAUUAGAUA
RNAcentral lists this ribosomal RNA (279 nucleotides) under uncultured bacterium. RNAcentral's name for it is "partial 16S ribosomal RNA". It matches the Rfam family "Bacterial small subunit ribosomal RNA", at positions 506 to 784 of the family's 1533-position model. The record is from RNAcentral.